GAUGAACGCUAGCGGGAGGCUUAAUACAUGCAAGUCGAGGGGUAACAGGGUCUUCGGACCGCUGACGACCGGCGCACGGGUGAGUAACGCGUACGCAAUCUACCUUCAAGAGGGGAAUAGCCCUGGGAAACUGGGAUUAAUGCCCCAUAGAAUUAUAAGGUCACCUGAUCUAAUAAUUAAAGAUCCGUCACUUGAAGAUGAGCGUGCGUCCCAUUAGCUAGUUGGUAAGGUAACGGCUUACCAAGGCGACGAUGGGUAGGGGGCGUGAGAGCGUGGCCCCCCACACGGGUACUGAGACACGGACCCGACUCCUACGGGAGGCAGCAGUAAGGAAUAUUGGACAAUGGGCGCAAGCCUGAUCCAGCCAUCCCGCGUGCAGGAUGACGGCCCUACGGGUUGUAAACUGCUUUUACAGGGGAAGAACCGAAUCCAUUUAUGGGUUUUUGACGGUACCCUGGGAAUAAGCACCGGCUAACUCCG
Molecule: ribosomal RNA, 480 nt
Filed under: uncultured Saprospiraceae bacterium
Lineage: Bacteria; Pseudomonadati; Bacteroidota; Saprospiria; Saprospirales; Saprospiraceae
Description: bacterial SSU rRNA
Rfam family: Bacterial small subunit ribosomal RNA
Source: RNAcentral